RNAcentral lists this ribosomal RNA (444 nucleotides) under uncultured bacterium. RNAcentral's name for it is "partial 16S ribosomal RNA". It matches the Rfam family "Bacterial small subunit ribosomal RNA", at positions 339 to 795 of the family's 1533-position model. The record is from RNAcentral.
CUACGGGGUGCUCCAGUGGGGAAUAUUGCACAAUGGGCGCAAGCCUGAUGCAGCAACGCCGCGUGAGGGAUGAAGGCCUUCGGGUUGUAAACCUCUUUUAGCAGGGAAGAAGCGAAAGUGACGGUACCUGCAGAAAAAGCACCGGCUAACUACGUGCCAGCAGCCGCGGUGAUACGUAGGGUGCAAGCGUUGUCCGGAAUUAUUGGGCGUAAAGAGCUCGUAGGCGGUUUGUCACGUCUGCUGUGAAAAUCCAAGGCUCAACCUUGGACUUGCAGUGGGUACGGGCAGGCUAGAGUGCGGUAGGGGAGAUGGGAAUUCCUGGUGUAGCGGUGGAAUGCGCAGAUAUCAGGAGGAACACCAAUGGCGAAGGCACAUCUCUGGGCCGUAACUGACGCUGAGGAGCGAAAGCGCGGGGAGCGAACAGGAUUAGAUACCCGAGUAGUC